RNAcentral lists this ribosomal RNA (518 nucleotides) under uncultured bacterium. RNAcentral describes it as "bacterial SSU rRNA". It matches the Rfam family "Bacterial small subunit ribosomal RNA", at positions 8 to 518 of the family's 1533-position model. The record is from RNAcentral.
AGAGUUUGAUUCUGGCUCAGGAUGAACGCUAGCUACAGGCUUAACACAUGCAAGUCGAGGGGUAGCAGGGUAGCAAUACCGCUGACGACCGGCGCACGGGUGAGUAACACGUAUCCAACCUUCCCAUAACUCAGGGAUAGCCUUUCGAAAGAAAGAUUAAUACCUGAUAGUACCUUUUUCAAGGCAUCUUAGAAAAAGUUAAAGAUUUAUUGGUUAUGGAUGGGGAUGCGUUCCAUUAGAUAGUUGGUGAGGUAACGGCUCACCAAGUCUUCGAUGGAUAGGGGUUCUGAGAGGAAGGUCCCCCACAUUGGUACUGAGACACGGACCAAACUCCUACGGGAGGCAGCAGUGAGGAAUAUUGGUCAAUGGGCGAGAGCCUGAACCAGCCAAGUAGCGUGGAAAAGGAUGAAGGUCCUAUGGAUUGUAAACUUCUUUUAUAGUAGAAUAAAGUGAGCCACGUGUGGUUUUUUGUAUGUAUACUAUGAAUAAGGAUCGGCUAACUCCGUGCCAGCCGCGGC